This 253-nucleotide ribosomal RNA is filed under the name uncultured bacterium. RNAcentral describes it as "partial 16S ribosomal RNA". It matches the Rfam family "Bacterial small subunit ribosomal RNA", at positions 524 to 776 of the family's 1533-position model. The record is from RNAcentral.
UACGGAGGGUGCAAGCGUUGUUCGGAAUCACUGGGCGUAAAGCGCGUGUAGGCGGUCUUUUAAGUCUGAUGUGAAAGCCCGGGGCUUACCCCCGGAAGUGCAUUGGAAACUGGGAGACUGGAGUACCGGAGAGGAGGGUGGAAUUCCUGGUGUAGCGGUGAAAUGCGUAGAUAUCAGGAGGAACACCGAUGGCGAAGGCAGGUCUCUGGGCUGACACUGACGCUCAUGCACGAAAGCGUGGGGAGCAAACAGG